Molecule: ribosomal RNA, 415 nt
Filed under: uncultured bacterium
Lineage: Bacteria
Description: bacterial SSU rRNA
Rfam family: Bacterial small subunit ribosomal RNA
Source: RNAcentral
AUAUUGGUCAAUGGGCGAGAGCCUGAACCAGCCAAGUCGCGUGAAGGAUGACUGCCCUAUGGGUUGUAAACUUCUUUUGUACUGGGGUAAAAAAGGGGAUGUGUCCCUUCUUGCAAGUACAGUACGAAUAAGCAUCGGCUAACUCCGUGCCAGCAGCCGCGGUAAUACGGAGGAUGCGAGCGUUAUCCGGAUUUAUUGGGUUUAAAGGGUGCGUAGGCGGGGAUUUAAGUCAGCGGUGAAAGUUUGAGGCUCAACCUUAAAAUUGCCGUUGAAACUGGGUUUCUUGAGUGUAUUUGAAGUAGGCGGAAUUCGUUGUGUAGCGGUGAAAUGCAUAGAUAUAACGAAGAACACCAAUUGCGCAGGCAGCUUACUAAACUACAACUGACGCUGAAGCACGAAAGCGUGGGUAUCAAAC